AUGGAUGCCAGCCAUGUUCUUCUUGGGAGGCCUUCGCAAUUUGAUGUGGAUACUACACACAAGGGCAAGGAAAAUUCUUACUCUUUCAUUUGGAACAAGAGAAAAAUCAUUAUCCUACCAAACAAAACCGAAGGUAAUACCUCUAAGGAGGAGGGGAAAACUAUGUUAACUAUCUCCCAUACCUCUCAUGAGUUUAUGGAAGACUUGAAGGAGGCAGAUUUGUGUGCUGCACUUGUUGUAAAGGGAGAAGAGCACCGGACUGUUAAAAUUCCAACAAAGGUACGUGGUUUAUUGGCAGAAUUUUAG
Molecule: ribosomal RNA, 306 nt
Filed under: Triticum aestivum (bread wheat)
Lineage: Eukaryota; Viridiplantae; Streptophyta; Magnoliopsida; Poales; Poaceae
Description: partial small subunit ribosomal RNA
Source: RNAcentral